UGCCAGCAGCCGCGGUAAUACGGAGGGUGCAAGCGUUGUUCGGAAUUAUUGGGCGUAAAGCGCGUGUAGGCGGUUCGUUAAGUCUGAUGUGAAAGCCCGGGGCUCAACCCCGGAAGUGCAUUGGAAACUGGCGAACUUGAGUACGGGAGAGGAAAGUGGAAUUCCGAGUGUAGGGGUGAAAUCCGUAGAUAUUCGGAGGAACACCAGUGGCGAAGGCGGCCACCUGGACGGUAAUUGACGCUGAGACUCGAAAGCGUGGGUAGCAAACAGGAUUAGAUA
This 279-nucleotide ribosomal RNA is filed under the name uncultured bacterium. RNAcentral's name for it is "partial 16S ribosomal RNA". It matches the Rfam family "Bacterial small subunit ribosomal RNA", at positions 506 to 784 of the family's 1533-position model. The record is from RNAcentral.